GAAGUCCAUUAUGUUAUUGUGUUAUGCUGUUGUUGUUGUGUUUGAUUUGUUGGACAAAGUAUGAUGAGGUUGAUGAUUUCUUGUGACCCUUUUUUUUUGUUGCUUUGUGUCGUGGGGUGGUAGUAUUGCUUACUUGCAUAUCCAUUGUUUAUUGUUAAUGUAGGCUCCCACUUUGAAUGAUGUGAAGGCUUUUUCUAGUGUUGUGUCCUGGAAAAGUUUGAUAAAUCGAGGAAGAAAGUGGUGAAUGUGAUGGGUUUUGGUAGCUUGUUAAUGACACCCCUGACUUUUUUCCCUCGUAAAUUUGCGUAUUGGGUCCUGACUAGAGUUGGUGGGGAUGGUUCCUUAAUGUUUGGGGAUGGUUACGUUUUCCCUCUUAGCCGUGUACAAAUACAAUGUGUGCUUGGGAUCCUGAUGGGUACGAGACAAGUCCAUUCAAAAGUUCCUGAGGAUGGUGAUGUGAAGCUUGAGGUACAGCGUAUCAAGGAUUGUUUUCAACAGGGGACAACAUCUCAUUGAGUCUAGCUUCGACUGCCCUGUUUCGGUGGGGAGGCAACAAUGAAUUGAUGCCUUUAACAUCUGAAUCUGACAUAGCACAUUUCAGGUUAGCUUUUGUGAUAGUUCUUCUUGGAUACUUGUUGUGUCCAACUACAAAUACAAGCAAAUUGGCAGCCUCAUUAACUCCGGCAUUAACAGUGUGUGGAAAGACCGCGGAGUAUGACUGGUGCACUUUGACAUUUGAUUGCCUUUGCCAGGCAGCAAAGAAGUUUUAGAAAAAAUUCACAGAGACAGGAUAUGUUGCUGGGUCUAGAGGGUGCCUGCUGUUUCUUCUGUUGUUUUAUAUUAAUCAUCUGAGCCGCGUACCCGUGUAAUGGGGAGUGCUUCCUAGGAUAAAGGUUUGGACAUAAAAAAAAAUAAGUGAAGUCUGAACUGAAGACAAAUUUAAGAAAGGUGACUUUGGUCGUUCGAAGUCUAUGAAUGUAGCUUACGGGGAGUCGCAUCCCUUGGCAUGUCGCGAUUCGUCCAAGUCUGGUGUUGAUUUUGAUGUUAAUAAGAUAUCAAAACAGGUAAUGAAGAGGGUUGUUCCUCAGUUGAUCUCUGCUGUUGACAAAAAAGUCGGAGCUGUGUUUGAGAAAAUGAAUGAGUUGUUAGGAACAGCCAUGGCAGCAACAACAGCAAGUGGGUUUGGCAAACAUAUAUUUGUUAAUGAAAAAGAAACGAAAAGGAAGCAUGUGUAGGUUUUGCGGCUACCAUGAAAAAUGUUGAAGUGGAAAUCGAACGUGUAAUAGGGACUGAUGUUGGUAAGAUGGUAUUGGAAAGUUGUGACAUUGAAGGUUAGAGUUUAUGAGCCAGCUGUUUCUGCCAAUGUGAGUCAGUUUGUGAGUGACAAAGGCUAGGAAGGGCCUUUAGCUGGAAGAGUUGGUUGUGAAGUAGCAGGUGGCCAAGGUUUGCUUCGCAGCGAUGGGAAAGAUGAGGUUGUUGAUGUUGACCAGGACAACAAGGGACAGGGACAGGAAAGCCCUGACCAAGACAACAACAAGGGAAAGGAAAGCCCUGACCAGGGCAGCACCAAGGCACAUGCCACUGCUGCCGUGCCAUAGACAACAACAACAACGGACAUGCUAAUUUCAUUGACAGUACCCUUGAGGAGAAAGUUGAGGAUAGGAGGGUUGUUAUGGGAUUGGUUGGUACUACAGGGACCAAUUUGGAGAGGGAUGGUGGUGUAGGCGACAGAGAUAGUUCAUCAGAAUCUGAUGGUAAGAAGUCAUGGAUGGAUAAGAACGACGGCACGACCUGUAAGCGAAAGCGGGUUGUGAAACCCACUGAAGCUGGAAUUUUAGAGAUGUGUGCGAAGUCAUCCAAAACUCAAAGGCACACCCCAUUCGAGACUCGGUUGUUGUUGUUUGUACGUGUGUGGAAAGAUUACAACAAUCCCUUACGGUGAGCCCAUUUUUACAUCCCACAUUUGUAUGACGUAAUCCUUUUUCAUUUUAAUGUUUUUCUUCUUGAGUGCUGGCAUUCAUAACAUGUAUCCUUUGUGAGGUGUUCAUUCGUUGUGAGAACAUUGUUGCUAAUCAGAAGGAUUGCUUUGGCAUUCUUCACCUAAGAGCUCGGGUAGGAGAUGGUUAUGUAAGGAUGGCCAGUGUUAUGUACACUAAGCAUUGGGCCACAAAGCAAUUUUUAACAGAAGCAAGCGUAUUAUGCUCGACCCCAGCUUCGCUAAUCGGAUUAUGUUGAAUGAAGGGAAAGAUGAACAUGUAGCUAAGAAGUAUGGGAAGGUUUUCUUAAGUUAUAAACUGUGCAACAUUCGAACCGUAAGUAUUCUGUGCAGUUACCUCUGUGUGAGUAGUAUACUCAUUGUUACUAAUUUGAUUCUAUUGGCCCGUUGUUUCAUUGCUUUAGUGUAGGUUUUCAUUCCAGUAUUAGAAGUUCCCCCUAAAUCUCUAGAUGAUUCGCACUGGUGGUGCCUAGCUCUAGAGUUGAAGGGAAAACUGUUUAGAUUAUAGAUUCCAUCUACACCGACCCUUAUACUCACAUGAGAAGAUUAAUGAGCUUCUGGUUUGCUUUAGAACUCAUUAUCUGUUUUGAAGUUUAUUUUAAAACUUUUUUACAUUUGAUUCGAAUUUGCGAACUUUGUAGUUAUAUAGACAUUGCUUCUCAUUAAUAGCGUUUCUUGGGUGCUGAAUGAUAAUCAGAUGAGGGUUGUUGACAUGUUGUUUAGCUUGAGUGAUUCUACCUGGAAGUGUGGUGAGAUAAAGCAUUGGCCAAGGUCCACCAUUGAGGUCGAGGAGCCUUCUAACUCGGAAUACUGUGGGGUUUACAUGUGGGCUUGCAUCAAGUACUGUGCUAGAAGAUUUACAACAAAGUUUGGUGUGAUGAAUGACUAGGUUAUGAGUUCAAUGAGUAGUUAUUUGAUAGGCGUCCUUCUUGUUGCUAACCAUUUAUUAUCUUUGCGGCAGGGGAAUAUAUGUCAGGCAAGGGCUAACCUUUUUUUAGAUGAUGUUCAAUCAGAAAAGAAUGAAUUGAAAGACCAGCUAGAAGGCGUGCUGCCUAUUUCAAGAAAAACGGAACACACUCACUAAUAUUGGUUUAGUUUUUCUGGGGAGCUUGUCAUUUUGUGGUUGUGGUAGUGUUAAACUGUUUGCCUUCAACUUAGGUUAGUUGAAGUUAACUCAUGCACAAGUAACUACAUAGCAAGUUGUUCUCUUUUGGGUUUGUUUUCUUGUAGGAUGAAGUUAACUUCAGGUGGUAUUCUCUUUUGCCCUUUUUGUAAAUGGUACAUCAAUCUGAACUAAAUUCUGUCUUUUUCUGUUUAAUGGUUCA
Long non-coding RNA from Chenopodium quinoa (quinoa), 3321 nucleotides. RefSeq lists it as uncharacterized. Lineage: Eukaryota; Viridiplantae; Streptophyta; Magnoliopsida; Caryophyllales; Amaranthaceae. The record is from RefSeq and is a predicted model, not a curated record. The transcript has 6 exons.